This 320-nucleotide small RNA is filed under the name Pongo abelii (Sumatran orangutan). RNAcentral's name for it is "sense intronic". The record is from RNAcentral. Lineage: Eukaryota; Metazoa; Chordata; Mammalia; Primates; Hominidae.
GCAGCUGGUGUAAGGCCCUGGCAGGCUGAGGCGCUGCUGUCUAUAGGGGUUUACUUCUGUCUGCAUUGAAACAUGGCUUGGGAGGGGGUUGGUGGCCUGCUGCCAGCCUCGAAUUUGGAAGGCCGUGAGAUCCCCCCCCCACACAAGUACUGUGGAGUUUUUCAGCGCGCUGAUCACCCUGCUGCGGCUUCACCCUAAUAGACUUCAUAUGUUGAUGCAGUUGACAUCAGUAUCAAACUAUUUUACAUGUGAUCUGGUGUAUUUCCUGAGGAAAUCUGCAAGAUAUUUAUUAAGAACUAAUAAAAUAAACCUCUCCAUGA